This is a non-coding RNA of Schistosoma curassoni, 45 nucleotides long. The record is from Rfam. Lineage: Eukaryota; Metazoa; Platyhelminthes; Trematoda; Strigeidida; Schistosomatidae.
AUCCAGCUGAUGAGUUCUAAAUAGGACGAAAUACUCAUUCUGGAU